GGCCGUUACAGUAAUUGUUGCCGCUUACCGCACGCCUCUUCCGUCCCACGGGCGUUUUACAGACGUCGUCUCUUGGAACCCUGGCGGCCAGCGCGCGGGCACUCUUCCCAGACUCGAGUUCUCUGCGCGCAGAGGCCGCCAGCUGUCCAGGGGCCGCGCAGCUGGCCAGGAUCCCAAGGCAGGUCUGUCCCUGCUGUGUCACCACCCCUGACCCUGACCGUGCCUGGCCCAGAGGCGCCCGGCACAACCCAUCUGGGAGUUUUCGAGCUCCACGCGGGGGGGCGGGAAUUUUCAGCCACAACUUCUGUAUCCGGGUGGGGAGUUGCAGAGGGAAACACAAACAGAGUUCGAAAAAGAGUGAUUCUUGCGCCGGGAAAGUUGGAGCCCAGAAGAGUUCAGGAGUGGGCGGGGUGGUGUUUAAAAAAAAAAAAAAAGGGUGGAAACCCCAUCGGCCAACCCCGCAGAAAAAAACAAAUAAAUACCCUCUGCCUAUCUGCAGACGGCCCCUCCCCUGGGCCUGCGCGGAGCAGAGGGACACGUGCGGUCUCCUCCAGGCGCCGGGUGGGCACGCACGACCCCCGCCGCGGCCUCUGCCGGGGCCCAGGACCCGUCGGCCAUGAGCAGCCCCAACGGCACGGCGCCGCCCCCCGACCAGUCCGACUCGGGGAUCACCUCCCAGACGGACAUCGCGGUCAUUUCAGGUGAGCUGUGCCUGUCUGGGUCCCGCCCACAGCUGGGCAGGUGGGAGGGGGUCUGAGACCCCCUGUGGAGAGGGGCCCGGGCCGUCCUCCCUCCCCCAGGUGGGAUUGUGCCGGUUUUAAAUCUGGUAAUCCCGAGACCUGGGAAUGUGCUCCAUCCCCGGCAAACCUACUUGCCUUGUGCAAAUCAUGUGCACAUUGCGGUAAUCCACGCGCAUGUGGCCUCCCGGGCCGGCCUGCCAGCGGUGGUCAAUCCUGGGGAGCUAUUCUAGACUCAGUCUGCAGAGACUUUGGUGGAAGAAGGGACCAGGAGAAG
RNAcentral lists this long non-coding RNA (1014 nucleotides) under Dasypus novemcinctus (nine-banded armadillo). RNAcentral describes it as "lncRNA (ENSDNOG00000052595.1)". Lineage: Eukaryota; Metazoa; Chordata; Mammalia; Cingulata; Dasypodidae. The record is from RNAcentral.